GAGAAAAUCGUAAUUCCAGUUCCACAAAUCUUAUAGCAUCGUGGCGCUUCACUGACUCUGUCACUCUCCCCAAAACAGUUUACCCGUUGCCUUUCUUCCAACAAGCGAUCUCUCGGCCAUUAAAAUUUCUGAGAAUGGAUGGGAGUGAUUCUGGAGAUAAGAAACUAGACAAUGCGGAUAUGGCUGCUUUUGUCCAGAAUCUACUUGAACAGAUGCAAUCAAGGUUCCAAACAAUGUCCGACUCCAUCAUUACCAAGAAUAUCCUUUUUCUUACACUUCAACCUGUUAUUCAAA
This is a long non-coding RNA of Hibiscus syriacus, 294 nucleotides long. RefSeq lists it as uncharacterized. NCBI's taxonomy places the organism in Eukaryota, Viridiplantae, Streptophyta, Magnoliopsida, Malvales, Malvaceae. The transcript is spliced from 4 exons. The record is from RefSeq and is a predicted model, not a curated record.